RNAcentral lists this long non-coding RNA (453 nucleotides) under Pongo abelii (Sumatran orangutan). RNAcentral describes it as "lincRNA". Lineage: Eukaryota; Metazoa; Chordata; Mammalia; Primates; Hominidae. The record is from RNAcentral.
CAGCCUCGGAGCUCCGCUCCCAGGCUGAACCCUGCACCUGCUCUAUCACCUGCACCAUCUCCCUCCUCUCUUCUGGACCUCAUACUUUCUUACUUUCCUAUGCCUGUAAAUGGUUUGCUGUGACCAGGGAAGAAGAAGGAAACACAUUGAAGUCCUUGUCCUGCAAGGCCUGAGUCUGGAAAACUGUCUCAGCAAAGCAAGAGCCAGUGAAGGGACACAUUGCAAAGAGCAGGAAGUCUUCCGUCAUGAUCCACAGUCUCUGUUGGGUUGCAGUAGUCAUCGUGAUGCUCAUAAACUGAGAAAAAAUAUAUAUGUCUUUUUCACUUAAUUGGCAAAUAUUACACAAGUAUAUAAAUUUCACUUUUUACAGCUAAGGGCUGCAUAGCCAUAACUUCUGAGCAAUUUAUUAAGGUUGAAUAAAAUUGAUAUAAGGAAUCAUUUUAUAAAAUAAAA